This 223-nucleotide unclassified non-coding RNA is filed under the name uncultured Actinomycetes bacterium. RNAcentral's name for it is "uncultured actinobacterium contains 16S-23S intergenic spacer region". Lineage: Bacteria; Bacillati; Actinomycetota; Actinomycetes. The record is from RNAcentral.
UCCGAGUUGACCCCGGCAGUCUCCCAUGAGUCCCCGCCAUAACGCGCUGGCAACAUGGAACGAGGGUUGCGCUCGUUGCGGGACUUAACCCAACAUCUCACGACACGAGCUGACGACAGCCAUGCACCACCUGCACACCAACCACAAGGGAAGCCCUAUCUCUAGGGAUGUCUGGUGCAUGUCAAACCCAGGUAAGGUGGGGAUGACGUUUGAGAGUACGUCC